RNAcentral lists this ribosomal RNA (880 nucleotides) under uncultured Micromonospora sp. RNAcentral describes it as "bacterial SSU rRNA". It matches the Rfam family "Bacterial small subunit ribosomal RNA", at positions 8 to 904 of the family's 1533-position model. Lineage: Bacteria; Bacillati; Actinomycetota; Actinomycetes; Micromonosporales; Micromonosporaceae. The record is from RNAcentral.
AGAGUUUGAUCCUGGCUCAGGACGAACGCUGGCGGCGUGCUUAACACAUGCAAGUCGAGCGGAAAGGCCCUUCGGGGUACUCGAGCGGCGAACGGGUGAGUAACACGUGAGUAACCUGCCCUGGGCUUUGGGAUAACCCUCGGAAACGGGGGCUAAUACCGGAUAUCCACAUGGUGUCGCAUGGUGGUGUGUGGAAAGUUUUUUCGGCCUGGGAUGGGCUCGCGGCCUAUCAGCUUGUUGGUGGGGUGAUGGCCUACCAAGGCGACGACGGGUAGCCGGCCUGAGAGGGCGACCGGCCACACUGGGACUGAGACACGGCCCAGACUCCUACGGGAGGCAGCAGUGGGGAAUAUUGCACAAUGGGCGGAAGCCUGAUGCAGCGACGCCGCGUGAGGGAUGACGGCCUUCGGGUUGUAAACCUCUUUCAGCAGGGACGAAGCGUAAGUGACGGUACCUGCAGAAGAAGCGCCGGCCAACUACGUGCCAGCAGCCGCGGUAAGACGUAGGGCGCGAGCGUUGUCCGGAAUUAUUGGGCGUAAAGAGCUCGUAGGCGGCUUGUCGCGUCGGUUGUGAAAGCCCGGGGCUUAACCCCGGGUCUGCAGUCGAUACGGGCAGGCUAGAGUUCGGUAGGGGAGAUCGGAAUUCCUGGUGUAGCGGUGAAAUGCGCAGAUAUCAGAGGAACACCGGUGGCGAAGGCGGAUCUCUGGGCCGAUACUGACGCUGAGGAGCGAAAGCGUGGGGAGCGAACAGGAUUAGAUACCCUGGUAGUCCACGCCGUAAACGGUGGGGCACUAGUGUGGCAACAUUCCACGUUGUCCGUGCCGCAGCUAACGCAUUAAGUGCCCCGCCUGGGGAGUACGGCCGCAAGGCUAAAACUCAA